This 253-nucleotide ribosomal RNA is filed under the name uncultured bacterium. RNAcentral's name for it is "partial 16S ribosomal RNA". It matches the Rfam family "Bacterial small subunit ribosomal RNA", at positions 524 to 776 of the family's 1533-position model. The record is from RNAcentral.
UACGAAGGGGGCUAGCGUUGUUCGGAAUCACUGGGCGUAAAGAGCGCGCAGGCGGUCGAUCAAGUCGAGUGUGAAAGCCCCCGGCUCAACUGGGGAGGGUCAUUCGAAACUGGUCGACUCGAAGGCAGGAGAGGGUAGUGGAAUUCCCGGUGUAGUGGUGAAAUGCGUAGAUAUCGGGAGGAACACCAGUGGCGAAGGCGACUACCUGGCCUGUUCUUGACGCUGAGGCGCGAAAGCUAGGGGAGCAAACGGG